GACGCGGCGUGGCCCAGUGGCAGGGUGGCUGCCCGCAAAGGGUAAGUAGAUGCCGGUUCGAAUCCGGCCCCGCGUCA
This 77-nucleotide transfer RNA is filed under the name Caldichromatium japonicum. Its description in RNAcentral is "tRNA-Leu". It matches the Rfam family "tRNA". From Rfam's summary of the family: Transfer RNA (tRNA) molecules are approximately 80 nucleotides in length. Lineage: Bacteria; Pseudomonadati; Pseudomonadota; Gammaproteobacteria; Chromatiales; Chromatiaceae. The record is from RNAcentral.